ACUACGGGAGGCAGCAGUGGGGAAUAUUGGGCAAUGGGCGCAAGCCUGACCCAGCAACGCCGCGUGAAGGAAGAAGGCUUUCGGGUUGUAAACUUCUUUUCUCAGGGACGAAGCAAGUGACGGUACCUGAGGAAUAAGCCACGGCUAACUACGUGCCAGCAGCCGCGGUAAUACGUAGGUUGCAAGCGUUAUCCGGAUUUACUGGGUGUAAAGGGCGUUUAGGCGGGGAAGCAAGUCAGAUGCGACAACCACGGGCUCAACCUGUGGCCUGCAUUUGAAACUGUGUUUCUUGAGUACUGGAGAGGCAGACGGAAUGUCUAGUGUAGCGGUGAAAUGCGUAGAUAUUAGGAGGAACACCAGUGGCGAAGGCGGUCUGCUGGACAGCAACUGACGCUGAGGCGCGAAAGCGUGGGGAGCAAACAGGAUUAGAUACCCGGGUAGUC
This 443-nucleotide ribosomal RNA is filed under the name uncultured bacterium. RNAcentral's name for it is "partial 16S ribosomal RNA". It matches the Rfam family "Bacterial small subunit ribosomal RNA", at positions 338 to 795 of the family's 1533-position model. The record is from RNAcentral.